GUCGGACUGGUGAAGUGAAAAGUUUUGGGAGUGAAUUACUUGAAAAGAAUCCAGUCGGAAGUAAAGUGAUUAACCUCGCACUUUUAAUAUUAUACCAAAUUACCUUCAGUUUGGUAAUACAAGGCUACACCAAAACAAGAAACCACAAAUUCUCCGGCCACCGGUAAUCGCUAUCCCCGUUCCCAGGAUCUGCUGACUCCGGAGAAGUCGAACUUGCCUGACUCAAGGUCUCGGAGCAAUCAAAGUGCAGUGCAGGAAAAUCGAGGAAAUCCCUGGAAAACUCCGGUUGCUUUCUGUUCCUCCUAGGCAUGUCAUUUUCAGGCAUCCCUAGCCAAGAUGCAGAUGUUCCUAGUGAAUCUCUACAAGGUGGAUAUGCUUCUGGAAAAGCCUGCUGGCUCCUCCUUCGCGGUUUACAAUCAGCCUUGCGUCUCUCAAUGAGGAAUAAGGGGUAAAGACCUCUCUGGAGCGGGACCAUACAGCUCGGAGUCCAAGGACGCCAACGUGAUGUAGCGCACCAAGGGUAUGGAACAGCACGAGACGAACUGGAGGCUGGUGUCCAGGUCGUUGGCUCCGUCUGCGUCCCCCUCCUCGGCGUCAUUCUCCUCGUCCAGGAGGGCCUGUAGCUUGCGGGCCAGCUCGUAGUCCGACUCCUGCAAUGCCGUGAGAUGCGAUUACCCUAAUCCUUGCCUCCUUCCUUCUCUGCGUUCAGCUGCGCGUGCAGCAUCACGGCGAACAGGUAGUCAUCGCCUUCCGACUUGGUGGACGCCUCCAUGCCAAUAGUUCAAUCUCGUCCAGAACUUGGGAAAGAGAUCCGCGAAGAACAAGGAGCAAAUCGAAAAAGAGAAGAAGCGAAUAAUGUUUGGCGCUUUUCGUGCAGGGUGGCCAGAUUUUUUUAGGGGGAAAUACAAGGCUUAUCGAGUAUCGAUAUGUUUUGAAAGAAUGCUCGGGGCCUUCUCUAGAUAUUAAACUACAAAAAUAUCGCGAAGGAAAUAAUUUUAAACUCUACAAAUUGACU
Long non-coding RNA from Drosophila biarmipes, 1015 nucleotides. RefSeq lists it as uncharacterized. The record is from RefSeq and is a predicted model, not a curated record. The transcript has 3 exons. NCBI's taxonomy places the organism in Eukaryota, Metazoa, Arthropoda, Insecta, Diptera, Drosophilidae.